GGGCCCUUAGCUCAGUCUGGUAAGAGCGCUCGGCUCAUAAUACCGAGUGGUCGUUGGUUCGAAUCCGACAGGGCCCA
Molecule: transfer RNA, 77 nt
Filed under: Halovivax ruber XH-70
Lineage: Archaea; Methanobacteriati; Methanobacteriota; Halobacteria; Halobacteriales; Natrialbaceae
Description: tRNA-Met
Rfam family: tRNA
About the family: Transfer RNA (tRNA) molecules are approximately 80 nucleotides in length.
Source: RNAcentral